RNAcentral lists this ribosomal RNA (465 nucleotides) under Vreelandella stevensii. RNAcentral's name for it is "partial 16S ribosomal RNA". It matches the Rfam family "Bacterial small subunit ribosomal RNA", at positions 338 to 795 of the family's 1533-position model. Lineage: Bacteria; Pseudomonadati; Pseudomonadota; Gammaproteobacteria; Oceanospirillales; Halomonadaceae. The record is from RNAcentral.
CCUACGGGAUGCAGCAGUGGGGAAUAUUGGACAAUGGGCGAAAGCCUGAUCCAGCCAUGCCGCGUGUGUGAAGAAGGCCUUCGGGUUGUAAAGCACUUUCAGUGGGGAAGAAAGCCUUGGGGCUAAUACCCUCGAGGAAGGACAUCACCCACAGAAGAAGCACCGGCUAACUCCGUGCCAGCAGCCGCGGUAAUACGGAGGGUGCGAGCGUUAAUCGGAAUUACUGGGCGUAAAGCGCGCGUAGGCGGUCUGAUAAGCCGGUUGUGAAAGCCCCGGGCUCAACCUGGGAACGGCAUCCGGAACUGGCAGGCUAGAGUGCAGGAGAGGAAGGUAGAAUUCCCGGUGUAGCGGUGAAAUGCGUAGAGAUCGGGAGGAAUACCAGUGGCGAAGGCGGCCUUCUGGACUGACACUGACGCUGAGGUGCGAAAGCGUGGGUAGCAAACAGGAUUAGAUACCCGGGUAGUC